Molecule: ribosomal RNA, 440 nt
Filed under: uncultured bacterium
Lineage: Bacteria
Description: partial 16S ribosomal RNA
Rfam family: Bacterial small subunit ribosomal RNA
Source: RNAcentral
CCUACGGGCGGCAGCAGUGGGGGAUAUUGCACAAUGGGGGAAACCCUGAUGCAGCGACGCCGCGUGGGUGAAGAAGCGCCUCGGCGCGUAAAGCUCUGUCAGCAGGGACGAAAAUGAAGGUACCUCAAGAAGAAACCCCGGCUAAAUACGUGCCAGCAGCCGCGGUAAUACGUAGGGGGCAAGCGUUAUCCGGAUUUACUGGGUGUAAAGGGGGCGCAGGCGGCGAUGCAAGCCAGGAGUGAAAGCCCGGGGCCCAACCCCGGGACUGCAUUUGGAACUGCGUGGCUAGAGUGCAGGAGGGGCAAGCGGAAUUCCUGGUGUAGCGGUGAAAUGCGUAGAUAUCAGGAGGAACACCGGUGGCGAAGGCGGACUGCUGGACUGCAACUGACGGUGAGGCCCGAAAGCGUGGGGAGCAAACAGGAUUAGAUACCCCGGUAGUC